This 315-nucleotide ribosomal RNA is filed under the name Libanorhinus succinus. RNAcentral's name for it is "SSU rRNA". It matches the Rfam family "Eukaryotic small subunit ribosomal RNA", at positions 110 to 404 of the family's 1831-position model. The record is from RNAcentral. Lineage: Eukaryota; Metazoa; Arthropoda; Insecta; Coleoptera; Nemonychidae.
UUAUGGUUCCUUAGAUCGUACCCACAAUUACUUGGAUAACUGUGGUAAUUCUAGAGCUAAUACAUGCAAACAGAGCUCCGACCGGAGACGGAAGGAGUGCUUUUAUUAGAUCAAAACCAAUCGGUGGCGGGUUUACUCGUCAUCGUACAACUUGGUGACUCUGAAUAACUUUACGCUGAUCGCACGGUCUCGCACCGGCGACCCAUCUUUCAAAUGUCUGCCUUAUCAACUGCCGAUGGUAGGUUCUGCGCCUACCAUGGUUGUAACGGGUAACGGGGAAUCAGGGUUCGAGUCCGGAGAGGGAGCCUGCGACAC